Molecule: transfer RNA, 71 nt
Filed under: Corynebacterium sp. CNJ-954
Lineage: Bacteria; Bacillati; Actinomycetota; Actinomycetes; Mycobacteriales; Corynebacteriaceae
Also listed under: 1 other name
Description: tRNA-Gln
Rfam family: tRNA
About the family: Transfer RNA (tRNA) molecules are approximately 80 nucleotides in length. Their secondary structure includes four short double-helical elements and three loops (D, anti-codon, and T loops).
Source: RNAcentral
UGCUCCGUCGUCUAGCGGCAGGACGCCUGGUUCUGGUUCAGGUAACCGAGGUUCGAAUCCUUGCGGAGCAG